GGCAAAAGCUCAAAUUUGAAAUCUGCGUAAGCCGAGUUGUAAUUUGAAGAUGGCUACUUUGGUAAUGGCUCUUGUCUAUGUUCCUUGGAACAGGACGUCACAGAGGGUGAGAAUCCCGUGCGAUGAGAUGUCCAUUACCGUGUAAAGUGCUUUCGAAGAGUCGAGUUGUUUGGGAAUGCAGCUCUAAGUGGGUGGUAAAUUCCAUCUAAAGCUAAAUAUUGGCGAGAGACCGAUAGCGAACAAGUACAGUGAUGGAAAGAUGAAAAGAACUUUGAAAAGAGAGUGAAAAAGUACGUGAAAUUGUUGAAAGGGAAGGGCUUGAGAUCAGACUUGGUAUUUUGUAUGGCUUGCUUUCGGGCGGGUCCUCUGCAGUUUACUGGGCCAGCAUCGGUUUGGGUGGCAGGAUAAUAGCAUUGGAAUGUGGCUCUACUUCGGUGGAGUGUUAUAGCCUUUGUUGAUACUGCCUGCCUAGACCGAGGACUGCGUCUUUUGACUAGGAUGCUGGCAUAAUGAUCCUAAGCCGCCCGU
RNAcentral lists this ribosomal RNA (528 nucleotides) under Fermentozyma sake. RNAcentral describes it as "eukaryotic LSU rRNA". It matches the Rfam family "Eukaryotic large subunit ribosomal RNA", at positions 100 to 652 of the family's 3401-position model. Lineage: Eukaryota; Fungi; Ascomycota; Pichiomycetes; Serinales; Debaryomycetaceae. The record is from RNAcentral.